RNAcentral lists this long non-coding RNA (1193 nucleotides) under Nicotiana tabacum (common tobacco). Its description in RNAcentral is "long non-coding RNA (NTAB_LNC009025)". Lineage: Eukaryota; Viridiplantae; Streptophyta; Magnoliopsida; Solanales; Solanaceae. The record is from RNAcentral.
CUGUCUACAAGCCUCUAAGAAUAUAUAAUAUCAUAAAUAUUGGGAUAGAGCCUCGCCAUACCAAACAAUACACAUCUAAAUUAUACUGACCAAACAGACAACUCCAGAGCAAAUGGAGUGCACCAACAUCUUCUGCUGAGCUGAUCGCCUACUUGGAGGACUCUCGACCUGUCUAUCGGGACCUGCGGGCAUGAAAUGCAGCAUCCCUAGGCAAAAGGGAUGUCAAUACGGAUAAUGUACCGAGUAUGUAAGGCACACAAAUAAGUACAUAACCGACAUGGAAGAAAUAUAGAGUAAAUGACUCAACCUUUAAGUCUGGAUAACUCUGUAAAUCAUGAAAUAAUUAUAGUGUCAUGCAUAUAGAUAUGAAUGUCAUGUCGUGCAUAGGUACAUGUUUCAUGACAUCAUUAGGCUUGUGAGGGCAUCCCAUCAUAUCAUCUUGGCCACUGUGGGCAAAAUCAUCAGCGUAUACCAGCUGAUCAGGUGGUGGUGCAUAUAUAAUGCCAUAACCUCUCCCAUAUAUAUAUAUAUAUAUAUAUGCGUAUAUAACGCCAUCUGGUCAUGGGUCAAUGUGCAUGUAUAUAUGCAUGAAAUGCAUAUGAAAUACAUUAACAAAAUCUCUCGGUACAUCAUAAGGCCAUUAUGCCUCUGAUUAAUAUCAUGAAAUAAUCUUUACCUAACUUACGUAUUUUUGAGACCCAUGACAUAUGAUAUAAUAAUAAGACACAUGUGAAUUCAAGAUCAUAAGCACCGCUAAUACUUCUAUGAAUAUAGUCAUUUAUGAAAGUGGUGCAUUUUCUCAUUUUGCUCAUUUUAUAUAGAUCAUGCCAAAAGAAAGAAGGGAUAGCCUUAACAUACCUGAGCUGAUUCUCCUGAUAACCCAAUAACACACGUCAAUUGCGACAAUACGUAAUGGCGGACCAUUGUAGGAAAAUAAUCCAUAUGAUAUUCUUGAAAAAAAUUAUACUGGGCUCCCUUAAAAUUGCAAAUUUCGUUACUAUUAUGUCGUAUAACUUCGCAUGAAUUCCUUGUUGGAGCAACAACGUUUCCAUUCUUAUCUUCCUGAAUUGAGGAAGAUGUUGAAGAUGCUUAAUGAAUUGUUGAAGACGUUGAAGAUGUUUCCUUCAAAUUGUUGAACUGUUGAUGUUGAAGACGUUUACAUUUUAUCGUUAUUUGCAGAAUGCCUUUUAAGA